GAGGAAGGAAUUAUCUGAAGAUAAUACCUGAGAAUCCAAAGGAACAAGACAAGAAGUAUGAAGACAAGAAUUCUACAUGUGCUGAGUGAAGAAAGUUUUCAGAGUAGGCAAUUCAAGCUUGCCUUGCUGUUGUGUUGCAGAAGGAGAUACUCAGGUGAAGGUGAAAGAACACACAGCCAUCUAUAAACUUCAGCAUAAAAGAGCUGAAUAACAACACCAGUGACCAUCAUCGUACCUCCC
Molecule: long non-coding RNA, 240 nt
Organism: Phacochoerus africanus (Common warthog)
Lineage: Eukaryota; Metazoa; Chordata; Mammalia; Artiodactyla; Suidae
Exons: 3
Source: RefSeq, a predicted model, not a curated record